RNAcentral lists this ribosomal RNA (491 nucleotides) under uncultured bacterium. RNAcentral describes it as "partial 16S ribosomal RNA". It matches the Rfam family "Bacterial small subunit ribosomal RNA", at positions 29 to 506 of the family's 1533-position model. The record is from RNAcentral.
AGUGAACGCUGGCGGUAGGCCUAACACAUGCAAGUCGAACGGCAGCACAGUAAGAGCUUGCUCUUACGGGUGGCGAGUGGCGGACGGGUGAGGAAUACAUCGGAAUCUACUUUUUCGUGGGGGAUAACGUAGGGAAACUUACGCUAAUACCGCAUACGACCUACGGGUGAAAGCAGGGGAUCUUCGGACCUUGCGCGAUUGAAUGAGCCGAUGUCGGAUUAGCUAGUUGGCGGGGUAAAGGCCCACCAAGGCGACGAUCCGUAGCUGGUCUGAGAGGAUGAUCAGCCACACUGGAACUGAGACACGGUCCAGACUCCUACGGGAGGCAGCAGUGGGGAAUAUUGGACAAUGGGCGCAAGCCUGAUCCAGCCAUACCGCGUCGGUGAAGAAGGCCUUCGGGUUGUAAAGCCCUUUUGUUGGGAAAGAAAAGCAGCAGGUUAAUACCCCGCUGUUCUGACGGUACCCAAAGAAUAAGCACCGGCUAACUUCGU